Molecule: ribosomal RNA, 528 nt
Filed under: uncultured bacterium
Lineage: Bacteria
Description: bacterial SSU rRNA
Rfam family: Bacterial small subunit ribosomal RNA
Source: RNAcentral
AACGAACGCUGGCGGCGUGCCUGAGACAUGCAAGUCGUGGGAGAAAGUCGGGGCAACUCGGCGAGUAAACCGGCGCACGGGUGAGUAACACGUGGAUAACCUGCCUUUGAGACUGGGAUAACCCGUCGAAAGACGGACUAAUACCAGAUAAGACCACGGGGAGUUCGCUUCCUGGGGUAAAAGGUGGCCUCUGCUCCUGCAAGCUAUCACUCAUUGAGGGGUCCGCGCCCUAUCAGCUAGUUGGUGAGGUAACGGCUCACCAAGGCUAAGACGGGUAGCUGGUCUGAGAGGAUGGUCAGCCACACUGGGACUGAGACACGGCUCAGAGUCCUACGGGAUGCAGCAGUCAGGAAUAUUGCGCAAUGGAGGAAACUCUGACGCAGCGACGCCGCGUGGGUGAUGAAGGCCUUCGGGUCGUAAAGCCCUGUCGGAGGGGAAGAAAAGUUUGCUGGCUAAUAUCCAGCAGACCCUUGACGGUACCCUCAAAGGAAGCACCGGCUAACUCCGUGCCAGCAGCCGCCGUAAUAC